AGAAUCAACGCUGGCGGCGUGCCUAACACAUGCAAGUCGCACGAGAAAGGGGGAGCAAUCCCUGAGUAAAGUGGCGCACGGGUGAGUAACACGUGAAUAAUCUACCUCCGAGUGGGGAAUAACUGAGAGAAAUCUUAGCUAAUACCGCAUAACACUUACGAGUCAAAGCAGCAAUGCGCUUGGAGAGGAGUUCGCGGCCGAUUAGUUAGUUGGCGGGUAAUGGCCCACAAGACGAUGAUCGGUA
This 244-nucleotide ribosomal RNA is filed under the name uncultured bacterium. RNAcentral describes it as "partial small subunit ribosomal RNA". It matches the Rfam family "Bacterial small subunit ribosomal RNA", at positions 26 to 285 of the family's 1533-position model. The record is from RNAcentral.